Molecule: transfer RNA, 63 nt
Filed under: Amphiporus formidabilis
Lineage: Eukaryota; Metazoa; Nemertea; Enopla; Monostilifera; Amphiporidae
Description: tRNA-Lys
Source: RNAcentral
GUUUUAGAAGCUGAGUUUUAGCGUUGGAUUUUUACUCCAAAGGAAGGGGGUUCUCCUAAAAUG